Non-coding RNA from Chelonoidis abingdonii (Abingdon island giant tortoise), 1237 nucleotides. Lineage: Eukaryota; Metazoa; Chordata; Testudines; Testudinidae. The record is from RefSeq and is a predicted model, not a curated record.
UGCCGGGGCUCUGGACGGCAGAGCCCAGAGCUGUCAGGGCUAUGAACUGCCAGGUCCAGAGGUACUGGGCUCUGGACAGCAGAGCCCAGAGGUGUCGGGGCUCUGAACUGCCAGGCCCAGAGGUGCUGGGCUCUGAACUGCCAGGGCCAGAGGUGCUGGGGCUCUGGACGGCAGAGCCCAGAGGUGUCGGGGCUCUGAACUGCCAGGCCCAGAGGUGUCGGGGCUCUGAACGGCCAGGCCCUGACACAGCUGCCUGUUGUCCAGUCUACACUUCUGGCAGCCAGAGGCCCAGGGACUGAGUGGGGUGCGGGAUUGAUUUGUGUUGUGGGGGGGAUCAGUGUGGUGAGCUCCCCCAGUAAAACCAGAGCGGAAGUCUGGGUGGAACCUCUCCCCCGCCUAAGCUGGGUCAUUGGCUGGGACCAAACCUGGGACCUAUGGAUUCAAAAAGCAGGCGCCUCUGCUAAUUAACCCAAAAGACCAGACUCGCAGUAGCUGACUCCUGAGGAGCCAUACAAAGUCUGACCACUAGAGGGCAGCAGAGAGACUUGGGGCACCCCCCCCCAGGUAAUAUUUGACGACUGCUGAAGGGUGGGGGGGCCAGGAAGGAUUCCCCCUCCCACCACUGAGAGCAUGGGGCUGUGUAUGGGCAGGCUGCAGGGAGGCGCCUGGUCCCAGAAGGUAAGAGCAGGUGCUGAGCUGCUGAGGACUGGGGAAGUUGUGACACGGGUGGGGAAGGAGCCCGUGGGGGGAGGGCAGGACACUGCAAACACCUGACAUUGUUUGAAGUUUAUUAUAAUUGUUUUAAUCUUAUUUAAUUCCCCCCUUCCCCACUUGAGGUUCAUAUGAUGAGAGGGGCAAAGGGUUAAGGAGACAGUAGGGGGCAGAGGCAGGUUCUUGGAGGGGGGGCAGAAACAGCCCCUCCCAGUAUGGGGCAGAAGAAUAACAACCCUCCCCCAGUGUGGGGCAAACAGGCUUCCCAAGGGGCAAGUGGUCCCUCUCCAGCAGGGGGCGCUGUGAGCACCCCGGCCCUGUGAAAGGGCCGAGUUCGAAUUUCGCCAUCCUAGUAUUUCCCCUUGGAGCCGAGGACGCCUGACCCCGAGAUGGAGCUCCGUGGUGCCUUGCAUGGUGAUCAGUACCCAAUGGGAAGAGCAGGGCCUGGCGCUGCCCUCUGCCAAUGGGCUGGCUGCAGGGCUGGCUGGCAGGCCCGACUCUGCGCCCGGGGGGCUGCCGCUUCAAA